RNAcentral lists this ribosomal RNA (301 nucleotides) under uncultured bacterium. RNAcentral describes it as "partial 16S ribosomal RNA". It matches the Rfam family "Bacterial small subunit ribosomal RNA", at positions 509 to 807 of the family's 1533-position model. The record is from RNAcentral.
CAGUCGCCGCGGGAACACGAGGGGGGGCAAGCGUUGUUCGGAAUUAUUGGGCGUAAAGGGUGCGUAGGCGGUUUGGCAAGUCUUGUGUGAAAUCUUCGGGCUCAACCCGAAGCCUGCACGAGAAACUACCGGGCUUGAGUAUUGGAGAGGUGAGUGGAAUUUCCGGUGUAGCGGUGAAAUGCGUAGAUAUUGGGAAGAACACCAGUGGCGAAGGCGGCUUUCUGGACGGCAACUGACACUGAGGCUCGAAAGCCAGGGGAGCGAACGGGAUUAGAUACCCCUGUAGUCCCUGUCUCUUAUA